Molecule: ribosomal RNA, 969 nt
Filed under: uncultured bacterium
Lineage: Bacteria
Description: bacterial SSU rRNA
Rfam family: Bacterial small subunit ribosomal RNA
Source: RNAcentral
CGGGCGUUUUCCGGAUUAUUGGGCGUAAGAGCUCGUAGGCGGUUUGUCGCGUCUGCCGUGAAAGUCCGGGGCUCAACUCCGGAUCUGCGGUGGGUACGGGCAGACUAGAGUGAUGUAGGGGAGACUGGAAUUCCUGGUGUAGCGGUGAAAUGCGCAGAUAUCAGGAGGAACACCGAUGGCGAAGGCAGGUCUCUGGGCAUUAACUGACGCUGAGGAGCGAAAGCAUGGGGAGCGAACAGGAUUAGAUACCCUGGUAGUCCAUGCCGUAAACGUUGGGCACUAGGUGUGGGGGACAUUCCACGUUUUCCGCGCCGUAGCUAACGCAUUAAGUGCCCCGCCUGGGGAGUACGGCCGCAAGGCUAAAACUCAAAGGAAUUGACGGGGGCCCGCACAAGCGGCGGAGCAUGCGGAUUAAUUCGAUGCAACGCGAAGAACCUUACCAAGGCUUGACAUGAACCGGUAAGACCUGGAAACAGGUCCCCCACUUGUGGCCGGUUUACAGGUGGUGCAUGGUUGUCGUCAGCUCGUGUCGUGAGAUGUUGGGUUAAGUCCCGCAACGAGCGCAACCCUCGUUCCAUGUUGCCAGCGCGUUAUGGCGGGGACUCAUGGGAGACUGCCGGGGUCAACUCGGAGGAAGGUGGGGACGACGUCAAAUCAUCAUGCCCCUUAUGUCUUGGGCUUCACGCAUGCUACAAUGGCCGGUACAAAGGGUUGCGAUACUGUGAGGUGGAGCUAAUCCCAAAAAGCCGGUCUCAGUUCGGAUUGGGGUCUGCAACUCGACCCCAUGAAGUCGGAGUCGCUAGUAAUCGCAGAUCAGCAACGCUGCGGUGAAUACGUUCCCGGGCCUUGUACACACCGCCCGUCAAGUCACGAAAGUUGGUAACACCCGAAGCCGGUGGCCUAACCCCUUGUGGGAGGGAGCUGUCGAAGGUGGGACUGGCGAUUGGGACUAAGUCGUAACAAGGUAAC